Molecule: ribosomal RNA, 207 nt
Filed under: uncultured bacterium
Lineage: Bacteria
Description: partial 16S ribosomal RNA
Rfam family: Bacterial small subunit ribosomal RNA
Source: RNAcentral
CGCGUAGGUGGUUUGUUAAGCGAGAUGUGAAAGCCCCGGGCUUAACCUGGGAACGGCAUUUCGAACUGGCAGGCUAGAGUGUGGUAGAGGGUAGUGGAAUUUCCUGUGUAGCGGUGAAAUGCGUAGAUAUAGGAAGGAACACCAGUGGCGAAGGCGGCUACCUGGACCAACACUGACACUGAGGUGCGAAAGCGUGGGGAGCAAAAG